Molecule: ribosomal RNA, 245 nt
Filed under: Klebsiella pneumoniae
Lineage: Bacteria; Pseudomonadati; Pseudomonadota; Gammaproteobacteria; Enterobacterales; Enterobacteriaceae
Description: partial 23S ribosomal RNA
Rfam family: Bacterial large subunit ribosomal RNA
Source: RNAcentral
GGCUGAUUGUCCAGGCAAAUCCGGAUAAUCAAGGCUGAGGUGUGAUGACGAGGCACUACGGUGCUGAAGUAUCAAAUGCCCUGCUUCCAGGAAAAGCCUCUAAGCAUCAGGUAACAUUAAAUCGUACCCCAAACCGACACAGGUGGUCAGGUAGAGAAUACCAAGGCGCUUGAGAGAACUCGGGUGAAGGAACUAGGCAAAAUGGUGCCGUAACUUCGGGAGAAGGCACGCUGGUGUGUAGGUGA